GCCGUGGGUUGCUCUGGUUGCACAGGUCUGCUCCUUCCCACCUGUCUGCGUUUUUUCCUGCUUGCUGGUCUUGAGGACACAAUGAGAUGGAAAGGCAUUGGAGAUGGGUGUGCUGAAGGGGAGAUGUGCUAGUGUUUGCUGAACACAAGACAAUCCCCUGACGUACCUAACUGGUAGUGUUACCCACAGCCGUGGGUAUUUAAGAAGAAGGUGGAACUCCAUGGGAACGUCCCGUGCCAUUCAUGGUGAGCAGCAGGCGUUGCACACGCCAGGAUACGCAGCUACCUGGGCCACGCUGCUCAGCACGUGCUGCCCCUGUGUGGGACUGCUGUGGAAUAGGAAGCUGAAUGCUGCAGAGCAUUUGGAUGAGCACACAACGGAAAGCAAAAGCCAUAUAAAUAUGGAAAGCACAGGAGAAAGCAGCAAAUUAACACUACAGAGGAUUGUGUGGAUCUGUCGUGUGUAGAAUUCAGAAGUACGCCCAAGCCCAUUGCUUGCUGGGAGACAGUGGGAGACAAGAACCACGUCUGUGUCUACGUGUGUAUAGAUAUGUGUACAUAUUUACUUAAAAGAGAGCUAGAUGAGGACCUGUCCCAAGCAUGUCAGGAUCCUGAAAGGGCGUCAGACAGCAGAAAGGCAUUUCCUGUGCUCAUCUCUUUCUCUGCCUGCCCUUAUUUUGGAAAGUGAGAAGCACCUCAGAUUUGAGGGUGUCCUUUGUUCAGACCAAUAGGGAAUGAACCUGCGGGAGCUGCCUGCCCAGCGCCUCCACCUGGCCGUCCUUCCUGCCCCGAGGAAUCGCACCUCCUCCAAGGGCAAGUGACAGACCCUUGGGACAGCUCAACUCUUAUCUGCCAUGUGUUUAUUUCCGCAUCCUUACGGCAGUGGUGAGCAUGGCAGGCCUGGCGCUGGGUCAUGUGGAAUGCGGUCAUCUGCUGCUCCUUCCCUGUAGAUACCUGCUCUUGGAGCUCUGUCACUUCACCCACUCUUAAUUCAUUUAACAUGGACGUUAAUUGAAGCUACAAAGUGGUUCAAUAUAUACAUCAAAAUUGAAAUCCCAGUCGUCUUUAGCUGCCUAAUUUAUGUGUGGGCUUUCCCUCCCAGCGCUUUCCUUAGAGCUGAUCAAUAUUCGUUCUUUUUUACUGCUUUUUUUCCUCCUUUAUUUAGGGUUGGAUCUCUUGGUCUGCUCAGCAGAGCAUCUGUUUCCACAUACAAAGGUGGUUCUUGACAUUGGAGUUGUGUUGAGAUUUUUGUAGUGAGCUCAGGCUUUAGCACUGAAUCUCUGUUUAAUAUUUCUCUUUGAAAUGUUUCAUCCUUUUUUUUCCUUCAACUCUUGUGCUGUACAUGUUAACUUUGUGUUUUGUGGGAACUGAAAUGGAAGGAUCUCUUUGUAACCGCUGUAAAUAGCCCCAGCAUAAUUCAGGGAAGCACUUCAGCAUCUCCGUAAGUGUAGGACUGGAUAUGGGUAUUUUGCUGGGGUAAAUGACUGCAUUCCAAGUUGUGUGGUUUUUUUUUCCCCUCCUUCCCCCCUCUGAAUUGCAUCAGUAUGAGGGGGGAAAGAAAGGCAAUCAGGUCUAGUGUAGGUUGGUUGGUUUGUUUUCCCCAAAGGACCAGCCUGGAUUUUUCCUCUGCAAAGUAAUGCAGAAUCUGCUCUUCAGGGUAACUCCAUUGAGAGGAGCAGCGUGUGCUGUGGCUUUCUGCCACAUUUCUUACCUUACAGCGUGCACUGUCAGCUUGUUGCCCCUUACUCUCGAGUCAUGAGAGGGGACUGCCCAGUUUUCCCUUGCCUGGGUGAGUCAGCCCAGCUGAGACCUUCACCCUCUGUCCAUGAGCAGUCACUCCUUCUCCCCUGUGGGGUCUCUGGGGGCUGCGUGCCCUUGGGAAAGGCAGAAGCACACAGGGGGAGGUGCUGCUGCGUCAGGUGAGAGUCAGUGCGGACCCUUGGAUUCACACCAAGCACGUGAAUCACAGUGAUUUACAGGAAGAUCCUUGAUGAGUCAAUUAUUUGAAUAGCUGAACUCUCUUCUUUUCUACGCACUGAGGAUUUCUUUUAUCUCCUUGUUAAAAGUGAACGUUUCUUUCUUUGCUCUAUCUCUGCACAGCAUGUCUUGUUGUUACAUUUAAGUUGCUGUAAACUCUAAAUCAAUAAUCCCAUUAAGAAGAAAUAAGAGGUCUAGUAGCAAUAAGCACAAUUGCAGAGUUAAUUAGAUAAUCUUAUUUCGAGAUAGACAGUGGAGCUACAGCAUCUUUGGGAAGCAAAAUCGAUGCAGGCGUGAUGUGGUGGGCUUAGUUUUGGGAUGGGCUCUGGCUGUCUUUGGGGAUCCCAGGGCUUGUGCUGCCUGAGCACACCGCAGCUGCAGAACCUUUUGGUUGCUGCUAUGGCAUCAAACAGUGUAAUGUGGUGUACGCUGGGAGCAGUCAGGUGUCUGGGAGGGGUAUGGAUUCCAGAAAGCAACAGUGCAUCUUAAAGCGGCAUUUUUAUGCUGCUAACUACUUAUGUUACAGUGUUUAAAAAACUAAACGCUGGUUUUUAGUUUAAAACUGAAAACUGUUUCUUUGGAAGAAGUGGAUGAUGGUUUUUCUCAUCUCUUCUUUCAACACUGAUUUCUAAACAGGCGCCUUACUGCUGAGCUCUGGGCUGGUUUUGGGCCGUGCAGCCCCCAGGACUGCGGCUGAGCUGCUCCGCCACGUUGGGGAGAGCCCCAGGAGUGGGAGCCUUUCCUACCACAGACCUUUGGCAGCUCCUUUCAAGCAGAGUUGCACCCCAUUCCUCACCACCCCCAUGUUAAGAGCUAUUGAAGACAAUGAAAUCGAAGCACAGGAAUGAUGGGCCUCCUUGAUGUUUCAUUAUCAUUAAACAUCAUCUCUGCUGUGCUGUGGAAUAUCUGGU
This is a long non-coding RNA of Gallus gallus (chicken), 2887 nucleotides long. NCBI's taxonomy places the organism in Eukaryota, Metazoa, Chordata, Aves, Galliformes, Phasianidae. The record is from Ensembl.